CCCGCCGGCAGGGGGCGCUGCCGCACGGGGGGCCCGGCCGUGUGUGGGAGCCCACAGAGGGUUUGUCCAGCGCGGAGAAAAUGCCAGAAUCCCAGAAACACAGAGUCACAAACUAGGCUGCGAGAGACCUCCGAGAUCCUCGACUAUGACCAAACACCACAGUGUCAACAAGACCGUGGUACUCGGUGCUUUGUCCAGUUUUCCUUAAACACCUCCAGGGACGAUGACUCCACCACCUCCCUGGGCAGCCCAUUCCAACAAACAAUCACCCUCUGAGUGAAGAAAUUCUUCCUAAAAUCCACCUAAAAAUUUCUUGAUGCAGUUUAAGACUGUGUCUUCUCAUCCUGUCGCUGGUUGCCUGGGAGAAGAGCCUGACGCCGAUCUGGCUACAGCCUCCUUUCAGGUGAUUGUAGAGAGCGGUACGGUCUCCCCUGAGCCUCCUCCUCUCCAGGCUGGACAAUCCAGCUCCCUCAGCCGCUCCCUAUGUGACACUUGUUCUGUCGCUCUUCUCUGGAUCUGCUCCAGCCCGUUGAUAUCCUUCCUGAAUGAAGCAGCCCAGAAUGGACACAGGAUUCUAGAUGUGGGCUCACCAGUACCAAACAGGCCACACCUCAGGCCCAGAAAUUACUUUCUGAAACGGCCUUUUUCUUCUUAUUAUGUGGUAGUAACUGUAACAAAUAGAGCAACGAAUCUGUUACCUAACACUGUAGCUAUGGAGAGCUCACAAUUCAUUGGAGACACAUCUAAAUACCCCCUGGAUACAUUUUUACCUUAUGAUGUAAAACGUUAAGGAAACAAGACUGAGACUAUUUAACCCUGGAAGUGUUUCCAUUCUAUCUUUGAUAUCUCGAUUUUCUUGACUGAAUGUCUGAGAACAUAACUGUACACAUCCUCUUGUUUCUGGAUGCUGAUGACCUUCAACAGCUGUCAAAACUGUGCAAGAUCUUCCAGCAGGCUUUUGUUUGGGCUGUUCAGGACUAACACUGCAAAUAAAUGCCAGAAGAGAAACUGCAUUCAGCAUGAAGAACAGUAUUGGCUUAACCACAGAUGGACCUCCAAAGACACUCCAAAAACAACUUUCAGCCAUUCGGUUUUAAAUUAAAAGAAGCAACAGAAUGUAUUUUAAAACUGAAUGUGAACUUGUCUGUACAAUGUUUGGAGUUGAAUAAACUUCUCUUUAAAGCUGGAACAAGC
This is a long non-coding RNA of Oenanthe melanoleuca, 1194 nucleotides long. RefSeq lists it as uncharacterized. The transcript is spliced from 4 exons. NCBI's taxonomy places the organism in Eukaryota, Metazoa, Chordata, Aves, Passeriformes, Muscicapidae. The record is from RefSeq and is a predicted model, not a curated record.